Molecule: long non-coding RNA, 61 nt
Filed under: dengue virus type 4
Lineage: Riboviria; Orthornavirae; Kitrinoviricota; Flasuviricetes; Amarillovirales; Flaviviridae
Description: Dengue virus 4 partial sfRNA2
Source: RNAcentral
UUGAAGUCAGGCCACUUGUGCCACGGCUUGAGCAAACCGUGCUGCCGAGUGCGCCGCAGAU